UUUGUUCGUUUGUUGUUCAACCAGUUGGAACACCCUAACGAAUCUGUCAACAGCACAUCUUUAUCAACGUGAUUUCUCUCGGCAAGACAUUAACCACCUGAAGGAAUGUCGGUAAACAUGACGAGGACUCUGGGAUUUUUGAACGAGAGAAAGGAGCAAACUGAACGGACUACAAAUAUGGAUACUCUUGCAGUUUCAAGUGUGUUCUGGGGGGCUUUCACUGACUCACUCUCCCACAAAAACCAUCUUUAUUUUCUGGUCUUCAAAGGAGGAAGUGGACACUGAAUGAUGAUCAUACAAUGAGGAAUCAAACUUAUGAAACAAACUGGUGUGAACACAAAUGAUCAGAAAUCUUUAAAACCAGGACUGCAGUUAAAGCAGCUCGGCUGAAGUGAAGUGAAGCAGAUGGGAUCACAAAAAAAGUGAAAAAAGACUUUAAAUAUCAUGGAUGAGACGAAGACACAAAGUUACAUCAAACAUCAAGAUGAAGACACAAUGAAAGUGUUUCCCAGUCACUUCUGUCAUGGGAACAUUCAACAACGUCUGGAUUUGUGGCCACAUUUUCUUCAUGACCAUGUAUCUCCAAUCCCUUUGAAACCACAGAAGAUAAUGUGUUUUAUAAAACGUACAGCUCAACAUCUAAGGCUAGACCGACAGAACCCGAUGGGUUAUCAACUCCAGUCCAGUGUGUCGAUGACCCUGCUGGUUUGAAUGGAGUCGUGGUGUUUGGAGAGAGAACAUAUCCAUUACCUAAUCCUCAGUUUGGGAACUAUCAUCCAAACCAUGGCGACGACUAUGUGGGAGGAGUGUCUGCGCAUCAGCGGCGCUCAGAGGAGGUUCUUCACCAGGCAGAGAUCUUUCUGCUCCAGAGACGCAUGACAUCUAGGGGAAGAUCGAACGAGCCCCUGAACCCUUGUCCACUCUGCCAUAGUGACACCACCAACAGAGGACCCCAGAGCAGCUGGAGUCUGAAUAGUCCAAUGAUGGCUGCUUGGAUCCCAUUGAUGCUGCUGAUACUUUAUGAAUUAUUUAUUCAUAACUAAUCCAAUCUAUCAGCCUGCCAUAUUGGAGGGAACUUGGACCUGUUCAUCUGGACCCUUUCUUGGUGUUCAAACACAAUCUUUGUUAGCUCAGGUGACCUCAAGAGAAGAAGGAAAAAAAACGUUUUAAAGGCUAGUUGGAUGAAUGGAGGUCAGAUUGUUCAUUUCUGAUGCAUUCAAUGAAAUCAGGAUGCCUGAAUUACUGAAAAGCUGUACAUAAUAGUAUGUAUUUAUCAUGUGUGUAUUUGUUUUAAAUUAUAAUUUUAUUAUUUUUUUAAAUAAAGUAAAUUAAAUCCAUGUUUCUCUUAUUGAAAUCUAUCA
Molecule: long non-coding RNA, 1361 nt
Organism: Labrus mixtus (cuckoo wrasse)
Lineage: Eukaryota; Metazoa; Chordata; Actinopteri; Labriformes; Labridae
Exons: 7
Source: RefSeq, a predicted model, not a curated record